This 75-nucleotide transfer RNA is filed under the name Candidatus Woesebacteria bacterium. RNAcentral describes it as "tRNA-Glu". It matches the Rfam family "tRNA". Rfam says of the family: Transfer RNA (tRNA) molecules are approximately 80 nucleotides in length. Their secondary structure includes four short double-helical elements and three loops (D, anti-codon, and T loops). The record is from RNAcentral. Lineage: Bacteria; Candidatus Woeseibacteriota.
GGCCCCAUCGUCUAGCCAGGUCUAGGACGGCAGGUUCUCAUCCUGUUAACAUCGGUUCGAAUCCGAUUGGGGUCA